This 73-nucleotide transfer RNA is filed under the name Ignatius tetrasporus. RNAcentral describes it as "tRNA-Val". It matches the Rfam family "tRNA". Rfam says of the family: Transfer RNA (tRNA) molecules are approximately 80 nucleotides in length. Their secondary structure includes four short double-helical elements and three loops (D, anti-codon, and T loops). Lineage: Eukaryota; Viridiplantae; Chlorophyta; Ulvophyceae; Ignatiales; Ignatiaceae. The record is from RNAcentral. RNAcentral also lists the same sequence under 1 other name.
AGGCUCGUAGCUCAGUUGGUAGAGCGCCUGCCUUACAAGCAGGAUGUCAUCGGUUCGAGUCCGGUCGAGCCUA